Molecule: ribosomal RNA, 254 nt
Filed under: uncultured bacterium
Lineage: Bacteria
Description: partial 16S ribosomal RNA
Rfam family: Bacterial small subunit ribosomal RNA
Source: RNAcentral
UACGUAGGGGGCUAGCGUUGUCCGGAAUCAUUGGGCGUAAAGCGCGUGUAGGCGGUUCGGUAAGUCCGCUGUGAAAGUCGGGGGCUCAACCCUCGAAUGCCGGUGGAUACUGUCGGGCUAGAGUGCGGAAGAGGCGAGUGGAAGUUCCUGGUGUAGCGGUGAAAUGCGCAGAUAUCAGGAGGAACACCAAUUGCGAAGGCAGCUCGCUGGGACGCUACUGACGCUGAGACGCGAAAGCGUGGGGAGCGAACAGG